UCAGAUCUGAAAACAGGAAAGCCCCCGUGCAGGGACUUCACAAAAGGUAAGCUCUGGAGGUGGCAGAAAUUUUGUGAAAUUAUUCUGGGGAAACUGUUUCCCUCUCACUGCAAAGGAGAGGAGAAUCUACCUCUGAGUCAGCGAGGGUUUGAUAUUGAGAAGGGAUUUUAAGGGUUUUCAAGUGUCUUUAUGUUUGGGUUUGCCCUUAAUUCUUUUCCUUCACUUCGACAGCAUUGCGGGACGAGGAUGGCCGCACUCCAGCUUUCUGUCGGCUGUGGUCACAGAGUAAUUGUUAAGAACAGUGCUCCCUUUGACUUCCAAAAGUGUCUCAGUUUACACAACAAUGGGUAUGUGUAUUCUGUGCAAGACCUAUCCAAAUAGCGGUGACUCGGGUUUUAAUAAAGAUCUGUAUACAGCCAUACGAAUAGAAUCGCUCCUUAGUUACCUACCAAGAAUGGCAUCUGUUUUGUUUUUGGUUUUUUUCUUUGUUUAAAAAGUUUGUUUUCUUUUUAUUGAGGUAUAAUUGCCAUGCAACACUGUAUUAUUAUACCUGAAGCUAACACAAUAUUGCAUGUUUUGGGUUUUUUUUAAUUUUUUUAAUGUUUUAUUUAUUUUUGAGAGAGAGAGACAGAGCAUGAGCGGGGGGGGACACAGAAUCUGAAGCAGGCUCCAGGCUCCGAGCUGUCAGCACAGAGUCCGACACAGGACUCGAACCCAUGGGCCACAAGACCAUGACCUGAUCCGAAGUCAGUCGCUUAACCAGCUGAGCCACCCAGGCACCCCUGCGUGUUUUGGUUUUUGAGGAACUUCCCACUUGAGAGGUUGUAGGUGACUUCUGGUCUACCUGACACCCCCUGUACCUUAUAUGUUUCCCUUCUCCAGGAGUUAGCUGGGCCCCUUGGGUUCCUCUUAAAAAUGAAUGUUUUAUUUAAGAAAAUACUAGUUUCUUGCAUAUCUGUGUUCCUAUUUAUGACUGCAUAACACGCCUACCCGCUAGGAAAUUCUAAGCAGUCAUAUCAAAUGUAACCCUAUAACCAUGUCUUAUUUUUCUCUCUAUCACCAGAGCCUCGUCCAGCAGCACUUUGAAGAAAUGAGACAACCCUGAUUGAACGGAACUGAAUUUGUUGUGUUACUAACAGAGCUGAUAGAGUAGUCCAUUAUUAGGGUUUAUCUAUCUAUCGUUUCUGUGUCUGCGGUUUUCCAGUCAACAUCUUAAGAAGAAAUAUUGUUUUGGUGGGGAUUUUUAUUUGCUUUUUAAUUUCCCUCUUAUUUCUUCAUCGUACUUAGGGUCAGCAUAGAACAGAUGCAUCCAUCAUCUGAGUCACUGGGCUGGAUGCUGGUAAAGAUAAAAAAAAAAUCAUUAACACAGAGACGCCGCCUUUGAGUGAUAGUGUAGUACAGAAGAUCAAACAUAUACACGGCACGUUUCUGGUUUGUCGGGCAUAAUCUUGGUAACCUACGUGCGUCUGCAUUUUCUACUUGUUACCUGUGUCUCCUUUCUUUGCUUCUCUACGUGAGCUUGAGGGGUGUUUGGCGGCAGGAUGGAGUGCUAAUUUCAUUGAGGAAGACGUAUCAGUGAGGAUCUGAGCCCGUUCCUAGAAAGGCCUACAGACACUCGUGAAAAGGACUCUCGUCCCUCAGGACAAGACAAUCCCUGCAUGGCAAGUGCUAGGUGAACACCAUGGAGUCUUAAAGGGAAAAGAGGUGAGAUGGGCUCUGGAGGGACAAGGAGAGGUCUUUUGCAGGAAGUGAGGGUGAACCGGGUCUUGCGAUGAGCAGGAGGAUGGCUCUUCCAGAAAAGACCACGCUAUACAGACAGAGCUUGGGCCUUGGAAGAAGUUCUGGGACCCCAGAUGGGGCACAAAAGCAGCAGCGUGAUUCCAUUGCCGCGGAUUAGAGGAGACAGUCACGUGGACACAACUGGGGGGAUGUCCCAAUGGUGGCCGCAUGGAACAGCAGAUGCCAGUGUGAACCGAGCACUGGAUGGACCCUUGCUCCCACGCGAUGGCUUUCCCAUAUCUCCUCAAGCCAGACUAAACCCUAGGAUGAUAAUGGCGGUGGGGAGAGAAGACUCCAAGUUGGCUGAGAAGACACUGCCCCAUCCUAGCAA
Molecule: long non-coding RNA, 2110 nt
Filed under: Lynx pardinus (Iberian lynx)
Lineage: Eukaryota; Metazoa; Chordata; Mammalia; Carnivora; Felidae
Source: RNAcentral